Molecule: ribosomal RNA, 253 nt
Filed under: uncultured bacterium
Lineage: Bacteria
Description: partial 16S ribosomal RNA
Rfam family: Bacterial small subunit ribosomal RNA
Source: RNAcentral
UACGUAGGGCGCAAGCGUUGUCCGGAAUUAUUGGGCGUAAAGAGCUCGUAGGCGGCCAGUUGCGUCUGCUGUGAAAUCCCGGGGCUCAACCCCGGGCGUGCAGUGGAUACGGGCUGGCUAGAGGCAGGCAGGGGAGAACGGAAUUCCCGGUGUAGCGGUGAAAUGCGCAGAUAUCGGGAGGAACACCGGUGGCGAAGGCGGUUGCCUGGAGCUUUGCUGACGCUGAUGCGCGAAAGCGUGGGGAGCGAUCCGG